Molecule: long non-coding RNA, 224 nt
Organism: Camponotus floridanus (Florida carpenter ant)
Lineage: Eukaryota; Metazoa; Arthropoda; Insecta; Hymenoptera; Formicidae
Exons: 3
Source: RefSeq, a predicted model, not a curated record
AAAAACUGUUUUUUAUCAUUAUUCUUUCAACAUUUAUUCUUGUCCAGUUACUACUAUUCAUCACUACGCAAUACAACACGAACCUUCUUUUCAAGAUUCUUUCAUUUGUCUUGCCUAUUCUUUUCGGCACUGUAAAGUAUUGCUUUUUUAUUAUACGAGCGAACAGUGUGAAGCAAAUGCUGGAGCGGCACCGAGACAACUGGAAAUUUUUUAAAGAUAAACUG